UGCCAGCCGCCGCGGUAAUACGGGAGUGGCAAGCGUUAUCCGGAAUUACUGGGCGUAAAGCGCACGUAGGCGGAUUAGAAAGUAUGGGGUGAAAUCCCGGGGCUCAACCCCGGAACUGCCUCAUAAACUCCUAGUCUAGAGAUCGAGAGAGGUGAGUGGAAUUCCAAGUGUAGAGGUGAAAUUCGUAGAUAUUUGGAGGAACACCAGUGGCGAAGGCGGCUCACUGGCUCGAUACUGACGCCGAGGUGCGAAAGUGUGGGGAGCAAACAGGAUUAGAUA
Molecule: ribosomal RNA, 279 nt
Filed under: uncultured bacterium
Lineage: Bacteria
Description: partial 16S ribosomal RNA
Rfam family: Bacterial small subunit ribosomal RNA
Source: RNAcentral